ACGUAGGGGGCGAGCGUUGUCCGAAUUUACUGGGCGUAAAGCGCGCGUAGGCGGUUUCUUAAGUCUGGGGUGAAAGGUUCAACGCUCAACGUGAACAGUGCCUUGGAUACUGGGAGACUUGAGUCUGGGAGGGGGUAGUGGAAUUCCUGGUGUAGCGGUGAAAUGCGUAGAUAUCGAGAGGAACACCUGCGGCGAAGGCGGGUUGCUGGGCUGACACUGACGCUGAUGCGCGAAAGCUAGGGGAGCGAACGGGA
Molecule: ribosomal RNA, 254 nt
Filed under: uncultured prokaryote
Description: partial 16S ribosomal RNA
Rfam family: Bacterial small subunit ribosomal RNA
Source: RNAcentral